CCUACGGGNGGCAGCAGUAGGGAANUUUCGGCAAUGGAGGAAACNNUGACCGAGCAACGCCGCGUGAACGAUGAAGUAUUUCGGUACGUAAAGUUCUUUUAUUAGGGAAGAAUNAANGAUGGAAAAAUCAUUCUGACGGUACCUAAUGAAUAAGCCCCGGCUAACUAUGUGCCAGCAGCCGCGGUAAUACAUAGGGGGCAAGCGUUAUCCGGAAUUAUUGGGCGUAAAGGGUGCGUAGGCGGUUAAAUAAGUUUAUGGUCUAAGUGCAAUGCUCAACAUUGUGAUGCUAUAAAAACUGUUUAGCUAGAGUAAGAUAGAGGCAAGUGGAAUUCCAUGUGUAGUGGUAAAAUGCGUAAAUAUAUGGAGGAACACCAGUAGCGAAGGCGGCUUGCUGGGUCUUUACUGACGCUGAGGCACGAAAGCGUGGGGAGCAAACAGGAUUAGAUACCCUGGUAGUCCACGCCGUAAACGAUGAGUACUAAACGUUGGGUAAAACCAGUGUUGAAGUUAACACAUUAAGUACUCCGCCUGAGUAGUACGUACGCAAGUAUGAAACUUAAAGGAAUUGACGGGACUCCGCACAAGCGGUGGAUCAUGUUGUUUAAUUCGAAGGUACCCGAAAAACCUCACCAGGUCUUGACAUGCUUCUGCAAAGCUGUAGAAACACAGUGGAGGUUAUCAGUUGCACAGGUGGUGCAUGGUUGUCGUCAGCUCGUGUCGUGAGAUGUUGGGUUAAGUCCCGCAACGAGCGCAACCCUUAUUGUUAGUUGCCAGCACGUAAUGGUGGGGACUUUAGCAAGACUGCCAGUGAUAAAUUGGAGGAAGGUGGGGACGACGUCAAAUCAUCAUGCCCCUUAUGACCUGGGCUACAAACGUGAUACAAUGGCUGUUACAAAGGGUAGCUGAAGCGCAAGUUUUUGGCGAAUCUCAAAAAAACAGUCUCAGUUCG
RNAcentral lists this ribosomal RNA (949 nucleotides) under Grass white leaf phytoplasma. Its description in RNAcentral is "bacterial SSU rRNA". It matches the Rfam family "Bacterial small subunit ribosomal RNA", at positions 338 to 1295 of the family's 1533-position model. Lineage: Bacteria; Bacillati; Mycoplasmatota; Mollicutes; Acholeplasmatales; Acholeplasmataceae. The record is from RNAcentral.